RNAcentral lists this small nuclear RNA (62 nucleotides) under Ornithorhynchus anatinus (platypus). Its description in RNAcentral is "U7 small nuclear RNA (ENSOANG00000043183.1)". It matches the Rfam family "U7 small nuclear RNA". From Rfam's summary of the family: Animal histone pre-mRNAs are spliced by a different mechanism than nuclear pre-mRNAs and self-splicing introns. This processing involves the U7 snRNP, which contains only one RNA species: U7. Lineage: Eukaryota; Metazoa; Chordata; Mammalia; Monotremata; Ornithorhynchidae. The record is from Rfam by way of RNAcentral.
UAGUGUUACAGCUCUUUUAGAAUUUGUCUAGUAGGUUUUCCGGCGUUGGCUGGGAAGCCCUU